This 1763-nucleotide ribosomal RNA is filed under the name Clostridioides difficile. RNAcentral's name for it is "bacterial LSU rRNA". It matches the Rfam family "Bacterial large subunit ribosomal RNA", at positions 1140 to 2925 of the family's 2925-position model. Lineage: Bacteria; Bacillati; Bacillota; Clostridia; Peptostreptococcales; Peptostreptococcaceae. The record is from RNAcentral.
GCUCACUGGUCGAGUGAUCCUGCGCCGAAGAUUUCCGGGGCUAAAACUUACUACCGAAGCUACGGCAUCAUUAUGAUGGGUAGGGGAGCUUCCCAUACGGGUUGAAGCAUGACCGUAAGGACAUGUGGACAGUAUGGGAGUGAGAAUGUUGGCAUGAGUAGCGAGAUGUGGGUGAGAAUCCCACAGGCCGUAAACCCAAGGUUUCCAGGGGAAGGUUCGUCCGCCCUGGGUUAGUCGGGACCUAAGCUGAGGCCGAAAGGCGUAGGUGAUGGACAACAGGUUGAUAUUCCUGUACUACCGAUAACCGUUUGAGAGAAGGGAUGACACAGUAGGAUAAGCUAAGCACACUGUUGGUUAUGUGUGCCCAAGCAUUGAGGCAGUCAAAGUAGGCAAAUCCGCUUUGAUAAUGCUGGGAUGUGAUGGGGAGCGAAAUUUAGUAGCGAAGUAGCUGAUUUCACACUGUCAAGAAAAGUCUCUAUCGAGGUUAAAGGUACCCGUACCGCAAACCGACACAGGUGGGUGAGGAGAGUAUCCUAAGGCCAGCGAGAGAACUGUUGUUAAGGAACUCGGCAAAAUGACCCCGUAACUUAGGGAUAAGGGGUGCCACCAUCAGGUGGCCGCAGAGAAUAGGCCCAAGCGACUGUUUACCAAAAACAUAGGUUUCUGCUAAGUCGCAAGACGAUGUAUAGGAGCUGACGCCUGCCCGGUGCUGGAAGGUUAAGGGGAUCUGUUAGAGCAAUCGAAGCAGUGAACUUAAGCCCCAGUAAACGGCGGCCGUAACUAUAACGGUCCUAAGGUAGCGAAAUUCCUUGUCGGGUAAGUUCCGACCCGCACGAAAGGCGUAACGAUUUGGGCACUGUCUCAACAACAGACUCGGUGAAAUUGUAAUUCCGGUGAAGAUGCCGGAUACCUGCGACAGGACGGAAAGACCCCAUGGAGCUUUACUGUAGCUUGACAUUGGGUCUUGGUACUACAUGUACAGGAUAGGUGGGAGGCUUUGAAACCAGGACGCCAGUUUUGGCGGAGCCAUCCUUGGGAUACCACCCUUGUAGUACUGGGACUCUAACCAUAGGCCAUGAAUCUGGUCUUGGGACACUGUCAGGUGGGCAGUUUGACUGGGGCGGUCGCCUCCCAAAAGGUAACGGAGGCGCUCAAAGGUUCUCUCAGUACGGUCGGAAAUCGUACGUAGAGUGUAAAGGCAAAAGAGAGCUUGAUUGCAAGACAUACAGGUCGAGCAAGGAUGAAAAUCGGACUUAGUGAUCCGGUGGUUCUGCGUGGAAGGGCCAUCGCUCAACGGAUAAAAGCUACCCUGGGGAUAACAGGCUUAUCUCCCCCAAGAGUCCACAUCGACGGGGAGGUUUGGCACCUCGAUGUCGGCUCAUCACAUCCUGGGGCUGUAGUAGGUCCCAAGGGUUGGGCUGUUCGCCCAUUAAAGUGGUACGCGAGCUGGGUUCAGAACGUCGUGAGACAGUUCGGUCCCUAUCCGUCGCAGGCGUAGGAAAUUUGAGAAGACCUGUCCUUAGUACGAGAGGACCGGGAUGGACGUACCUCUGGUGUACCAGUUGUCCUGCCAAGGGCAUGGCUGGGUAGCUAUGUACGGAAUGGAUAAGCGCUGAAAGCAUCUAAGCGCGAAGCCAACUUCAAGAUAAGAUUUCCCACCGCAAGGGUAAGACCCCAGAAAGACUAUCUGGUUGAUAGGUCGAAGGUGUAAGUGCAGCAAUGUAUUUAGCUUAUCGAUACUAAUAGGUCGAGGACUUGACCAA